UCUUCCCAUUCCGAACAGAGAAGUUAAGCCCGUUAGCGCCGAUGGUACUGCAGAAAUGUGGGAGAGUAGGUCGACGCCAACC
Molecule: ribosomal RNA, 82 nt
Filed under: Marinifilum sp. N1E240
Lineage: Bacteria; Pseudomonadati; Bacteroidota; Bacteroidia; Marinilabiliales; Marinifilaceae
Source: RNAcentral